CUUGUACACACCGCCCCGUCACACCAUGGGAGUUGGUUGCACCAGAAGUAGGUAGCCUAACCGCAAGGGGGCGCUUACCACGGUGUGGCUAAGUGACGUGGGGUG
Molecule: ribosomal RNA, 105 nt
Filed under: uncultured bacterium
Lineage: Bacteria
Description: partial 16S ribosomal RNA
Source: RNAcentral